UUUUUUUUUUUUUUUUUAAGAUCCCUCUCAUUAUAGGAUGUUGAAUGGACUGGAUGUUAAAUGCUCAAUGAUGAUGCUGUUGUAGCAGUAGAGGUGGGACACAGUGGAAGUCAAGACAAGGAGCAUAGUGGUGGGAAUGAAGAGAAGUAAAUGUGUCUGAAAGGAAGGGGCUUGUGAAGACUGUUUAGAAGUGUUGUAUGAGAGAGAGGCAGAGUUCAGACACGGCACUGACAUUUCUGAUUGAGUCCAUGGAAAUCAUUCACUGAGGUGCAAAACGCAGGAAGUUAGAUGAGUUUUAGGUGAGUCUGGGUAGAAAGAUAUGAGUUCUGUUUUAAGACUCAUGUAAUAUUUCCAAAAGGAGAUGAAUCAAAUAUGUCUAGUUUCUCCAUCCAGCUAUGAAUCAUUGCAUUACUUUUUUUUAAAAGUUGAAGAUAUAGUUACCUUGUAUCUUUAAUAAAUCUUCCACUAUAUAUCAACUUAUAUUAUCAGUGCAUUGAAUAUUUUUAAUUUAUUUCUUUUCAGGCAUUUCUCAUAAAUGUUGAAGCUGUCUUGGAAUUCAGAACCUUAUAAUUUGAAUAUAUUCACAUAUAGAACACCAGCAUGACACUUAACCUUGCUAGGCUUCAGGGAUCUAAUGGAAAACAAAAUAAAAGACAGCUGACCAGACUUGAGGUUAGAAGAAAUAAAUGUAGGAUGUAGUCACUUAGUAGCACUGUAGUUAAGGAUCAUAGGAUUCAUAUACAAAAACUGCGGUGCAGUCAAAUAGCCUCAAUAUCAUGCAAGUCAUUUAAGGUGCUAACCACCAUUUCAAAUAUUCCACUUUCUCAGUGAAUGCAUUCAUAUUCACCCUCGGCUCUGUCAUCAUUAUAACUAACAGUCCCUGUGCAAAUAUAUCUUAGUAGUGGGUUCUGUAUCAUGCCCAUUUUACAGGUGAGAACUCUGACACUUGAAAUGUUUUCAGUAUAUUGUAUAAAGUCAAAAGAUGAUAAGUUGUGGCACUGGAGCUUCACCCAAGUCUGUCUGUAUGAUUUUGUAUAAAAAUUCUCAUUGCCCAUGCAAAUGAUGUUACAAAGAAAUUGUUAUAGCUGAUAAUGCACAGCACAUCACUGAUUGCAUGCCCUUUUCCAUAUGUAAUUAAGACAUUUAAUUCUACCUGUUAGGAAGACAGCUUCGGACUGGAGAGGAAUAUGUCAAUCUUAGAGGGUUGAUGUUAACAUUAAAUUUCUUCCUAAAAUGACGAAGUACUGUCUGGCAAAGCAAGCAUCAGGGUUGUGCUGUGGACACGCACCGUUAUCACCAUUAUUCCAAAUUUUCUUAAGAACAAAGAAAGACAAGCUAAGUAACUUGCUCCAGAUCACUCAAUGAUGAUGGUGGAAUCAGGAUUUGAUUCUGAAUCUCGCUACUCGUAGAGUUAAAUGUUCUUUACAUAGCACUUCAUCUCAAAGAAUUGGCUUCCUGUAAUAAAUGUCUUACAUUUGGCAGUCACCACUAUAUGACAAAAUCCAAGUUUUAUUAUUGUCAUUGGGUCCCUUGCUUGAUGAUUGUCACAUUAUAGAGUUAUAAAAUGAUGUUAAAUAUAUUUGAAUAUGUAUCCAUUUUGCGACGCACUCCAAUCCACAAGUCUAAGUAGUUUGUAACUCACUGGGUGAUUUAAACACACACACAUACUUAGUAAAAAUGUCUACUUAUGGGUCUGAAAUGCAAGUUACGGUGAAAGUUCACAAAGCUGUGAGCUUUAUGGGAAAGGGCAGGCAUCUGUCUUAUACAUAAUUGGAAUUCACAAUGUAGGAUAGUACAGUUGUCAUGCAUCUGUUAAAGGCCAAAAAUUUAUUAGAGCAAAUUAGAAAUUACAGACAUUCCCUUUGGAUAAAGGAGUCCCUCAGUAAUAUGCAACAGCACUUGGAGAAAACUGUUGGAGAAAGAACAAUGAUGGCAGAUCACAGAUAGUGACAGAUCUUUGUGUUUACACAUGACGGAUAUUGUUUGAGAAUAAUUUUUAUUGCUUUGUUCUUUUAGUCCAUAAAUAUUUCUUAGUGAUUACUGCCUUUUGGCAGUAUUCUAUCUGAUGGAGAUACUAAGGUAUUCAAAGUCCUUUCUUCAUGGAGCUUACAGUCUAGGGGUCACUCACUAGACUUGUCAUUUCACCUAUUAUGGACAUCUUCCCAAUGGAAAAAAAUUCAGCUGGCCAUAUGGAGAUUUUGGAACAUAAUUAAGAACAAGCUGGUAUGAAGUCUGCCUGUACAUUUGAAAAGUGGCAUGCAAGUGUAAGAUAUGUGUUUUCUUACACAUAAUAUGGAGAGAAACAUUUUUUCAAGCUAUCUAAUAGGAGAAAGGUUAGGAUAAAAUACGUACAUGACAACAUAACUGCUAGCUUUUUUAUAUUUAAUCUUUAAUAAGUGAUAAAUCUCACACCACAUACAAAAAUUAACUCAAAAUUGGUCACAAACCUAAAUGUGAAAAAUCUCAAAAGCUUUUAGAAAAAAAAAAGUAGAAGACCAUCUUUGAAUAGAAAGAUAGUGAAAAUAGUUUAUUGACUUUCCAUCACAACAAAAUCCAUAAAAAAUUGAUAAAAUGGAUUUAAUAAAAUUUUAGAACCUUUGCUCUAUAAAAUAUCCUCUUUAAAGUUUAAAAAGACAUGCCACAUAGUAGGGGAAAUAUUUGCAAAUCAUAUAUUCACAUAUGAAGAACUCUCAAAACUCUGUAGUUAUAAAAGAAACAAAUUAAAAAAUGGGCAAAAAAAAUGAAGAAACAUUUCACCAAAGAGGAUAUGCAGAUGGAAAAUAAGCACAUGAAAAUAGAAUUUAAAAUCAUGAGUACUGAAUCAUUCAUAAAUUGGUGUUAGGAAUGGAUGACAUGCCAUCAUUCUGGAAAACAAUUGGGCAGUUCUUUGAUAGAACUAAGCAUGGAGCCAAGAUCACAGGGUAGAGAGACCCUGAUCUUACCUCCUCUCAGAGGCACAUCAAAAUUGCAACUAUUUAUAGAACGCCUAUGGCUAUAAAAGCCUGGAAAUUACCAGAAAAGAUGUACAACUAAAGAUAUGAAGAAGGAACCACAACAGGAACAGAGGAGCAGUGUUGCAGUAUAGUCAAUACUGAUGUGCCUGGGUAAGUGACCCACAAAGAGGAGAAUAAUUAAAAACACAGAGAUUUCCCUCAAAAAUCAAGGGAUCUGAGCCCUACAUCAAGUAACCAACCCAGGGGUCUUUUACCUGGAAAAGGCUUUAAAGGCCUUGCAGGGCUUACAUUCAGGAGACCCAGAAGGCAGUGGAAAAUAUUGACUCCAGUCUUAAAGUGUCCAUACAAAAUCUCACAUACCCCAGGACCCAGGGCAUUAAUUUGAAAGGAGACUGGGUCAGACCCAUCUUGUGAUCUUUGAGAGUCUCCUAGAGAGACAGGAUACACUUGGAGUUCACCCUGAGGAUGUAGACAUUGACAAUAGCCAGUUUUGGUAACUUAUCCUAUUGCAUGCACACUAGUGCUGCCAAAUUUGCACUUCUCACUCUGACUUAUUAGCCUUGGGAUCCAGUCCCACAUAUGCCCACCAUCCCAUAGUCACCAAUACUGGGAUGACGCAGGCCAAACGAGUAACUGGUUGAUGGCAUAGCCCCAUCUACCAGCAGAUAGGCUGCCUUAAGACCACCUCAGCCCACAGAAACCCCUUGCCAGUCCCUGCGCACCAGUGGGCCCAGGAGCAGACCCCACACAGAAGUGCAAAGGCACUAAAACAGGAACCACCAUGGCUCUAAAAAGAGAAAUCCUGGAUCCCUUCUCCCCCCAACUAGCGGUCAGACAUCAGUCCUAGGAAAAUAAUAGCCUUCAAGCUUUUAGGCUGAGCCCACAUAUCAGAAGGCCAGCACCUGGGACUGUCUGAUUUCUAGCCCCAGGCCCUGGUGAGCCUUCUCUAGCCUUGGAAACAGCCUCACCCACCAGAGGUGAACAGGCCCAGAAAAACCAUAGCCCUGUAAUCUGAAGACCCAGUCAUCUCAAUAGCAGGACAGUAACUGCUCUGUGACAUUCUGGGCUCAAGAUCUGGCCACCAGCAAGCAGAAACAAGCUUUGAGACACCCUAGAUAUGGCAUCUAGCUGUGUCAGGGACCAGCCCCACCCACCAGUGUUCAAACACCAACUGUGGGACACUUGGGCCCUGCAGCCAGAGCCUUGAACAGAGCUCUGCCUACCAAUAGGCCCAUGUUCUGCUGUAGAACUUGUUUCCUCUCACUGGUUGGUGGGCAUAAGCCUGGGCAUAUCCUGGACUCCAUUCCAACCACCAGUGAGACAGCACUAGCAUUGGAGCCCCUUGAAGUUCUUUAGUUAAGAGCCUCAUGACCUGGCCCCAAAAAACAGUAGCUUCCACAUGAGGCAAAGCUUGGAAAUCAACUGGAUAAGAGGCAGCCAAGGAUACCAGAGUGUGCUCAGAAUUUAGUCCACAAUAACAGGAGUACCCAAACAUCCCACAAGGGGGCACUUCGAGAACAAAUAGUUCUAGUAAUCAGAGAGGAGUGAGCUGCAUAAGAAAUUUUCUAAAAACAG
Molecule: long non-coding RNA, 4529 nt
Filed under: Sus scrofa (pig)
Lineage: Eukaryota; Metazoa; Chordata; Mammalia; Artiodactyla; Suidae
Description: lncRNA (ENSSSCG00000055946.1)
Source: RNAcentral